This 482-nucleotide ribosomal RNA is filed under the name uncultured bacterium. RNAcentral describes it as "partial 16S ribosomal RNA". It matches the Rfam family "Bacterial small subunit ribosomal RNA", at positions 30 to 507 of the family's 1533-position model. The record is from RNAcentral.
AUUGAACGCUGGCGGCAUGCCUUACACAUGCAAGUCGAACGGUAACAGGUCUUCGGAUGCUGACGAGUGGCGCACGGGUGAGUAAUACAUCGGAACGUGCCCGAUCGUGGGGGAUAACGAGGCGAAAGCUUUGCUAAUACCGCAUACGAUCUACGGAUGAAAGCGGGGGAUCUUCGGACCUCGCGCGGACGGAGCGGCCGAUGACAGAUUAGGUAGUUGGUGGGAUAAAAGCUUACCAAGCCGACGAUCUGUAGCUGGUCUGAGAGGAUGAUCAGCCACACUGGGACUGAGACACGGCCCAGACUCCUACGGGAGGCAGCAGUGGGGAAUUUUGGACAAUGGGCGAAAGCCUGAUCCAGCCAUGCCGCGUGCAGGAUGAAGGCCUUCGGGUUGUAAACUGCUUUUGUACGGAACGAAAAGCCUCUUUCUAAUAAAGAGGGGUCAUGACGGUACCGUAAGAAUAAGCACCGGCUAACUACGUG